RNAcentral lists this ribosomal RNA (122 nucleotides) under Paraphysomonas sp. RNAcentral describes it as "5.8S ribosomal RNA". It matches the Rfam family "5.8S ribosomal RNA", at positions 1 to 119 of the family's 154-position model. From Rfam's summary of the family: 5.8S ribosomal RNA (5.8S rRNA) is a component of the large subunit of the eukaryotic ribosome. It is transcribed by RNA polymerase I as part of the 45S precursor that also contains 18S and 28S rRNA. Functionally, it is thought that 5.8S rRNA may be involved in ribosome translocation. Lineage: Eukaryota; Chrysophyceae; Chromulinales; Paraphysomonadaceae. The record is from RNAcentral.
AAACACUUUCAGCAACGGAUGUCUUGGCUCCCACAACGAUGAAGAACGCAGCGAAAUKCGAUACGUCAUGCGAAUUGCAGAACUUAGUGAGUCAUCAAAAUUUUGAACGCAACYUGCACUUC